UUUGGACAAUGGGCGCAAGCCUGAUCCAGCAAUGCCGCGUGCAGGAUGAAGGCCUUCGGGUUGUAAACUGCUUUUGUACGGAACGAAACGGCCCACUCUAAUACAGUGGGCUAAUGACGGUACCGUAAGAAUAAGCACCGGCUAACUACGUGCCAGCAGCCGCGGUAAUACGUAGGGUGCGAGCGUUAAUCGGAAUUACUGGGCGUAAAGCGUGCGCAGGCGGUUAUAUAAGACAGAUGUGAAAUCCCCGGGCUCAACCCGGGACCUGCAUUUGUGACUGUAUAGCUAGAGUGCGGCAGAGGGGGAUGGAAUUCCGCGUGUAGCAGUGAAAUGCGUAGAUAUGCGGAGGAACACCGAUGGCGAAGGCAAUCCCCUGGGCCUGCACUGACGCUCAUGCACAAAAGCGUGGGGGAGCAACAGGAUUAGAUACCCUGGUAGUCCACGCCCUAAACGAUGUCAACUGGU
RNAcentral lists this ribosomal RNA (465 nucleotides) under beta proteobacterium enrichment culture clone LiUU-12-57. RNAcentral's name for it is "bacterial SSU rRNA". It matches the Rfam family "Bacterial small subunit ribosomal RNA", at positions 363 to 820 of the family's 1533-position model. Lineage: Bacteria; Pseudomonadati; Pseudomonadota; Betaproteobacteria. The record is from RNAcentral.